GCGCGGGUCCUGCGCGGCACUGCGCCGUGAACCAUGUCAGGCGGGGAACCGAGCAGCAUUCAGCGGAAUGCCGUGUGCGCCGCAGUCCGCCUGUGCGCC
RNAcentral lists this signal recognition particle RNA (99 nucleotides) under Oscillospiraceae bacterium. RNAcentral describes it as "signal recognition particle sRNA small type". It matches the Rfam family "Bacterial small signal recognition particle RNA". From Rfam's summary of the family: The signal recognition particle (SRP) is a universally conserved ribonucleoprotein involved in the co-translational targeting of proteins to membranes. Archaeal SRP consists of a 7S RNA and homologues of the eukaryotic SRP19 and SRP54 proteins. Lineage: Bacteria; Bacillati; Bacillota; Clostridia; Eubacteriales; Oscillospiraceae. The record is from RNAcentral.